AAUCAACGCUGGCGGCGUGCCUAACACAUGCAAGUCGAACGAGAAGGUGACUUCGGUCACUGGAUAGUGGCGUCCGGGUGAGUAACACGUAGGUAAUCUACCUUCGGGUGGGGAAUAACGUCUCGAAAGAGACGCUAAUACCGCAUAAUGCAGCGGCACCUAAUGGUGAUUAGUUGUUAAAGCGGGGGAUCUUCGGACCUCGCGCCUGAAGAGGAGCCUGCGGCAGAUUAGCUAGUUGGUGAGGUAAUGGCUCACCAAGGCUUCGAUCUGUAGCUGGUCUGAGAGGACGGCCAGCCACACUGGCACUGACACACGGGCCAGACUCCUACGGGAGCAGCAGUCGGGAAUCUUGCGCAAUGGGCGAAAGCCUGACGCAGCGACGCCGCGUGAGGGAUGACGGCCUGGUU
Molecule: ribosomal RNA, 407 nt
Filed under: uncultured bacterium
Lineage: Bacteria
Description: bacterial SSU rRNA
Rfam family: Bacterial small subunit ribosomal RNA
Source: RNAcentral